AACGUAGGACGCAAGCGUUAUCCGGAGUUACUGGGCGUAAAGCGCGGGCAGGCGGCUCGAAACGUCUGAUGUGAAAUCUCCUCGCUCAACGGGGAGAGGCCAUUGGAAACGGUCGAGCUGAAGGGCAGUAGAGGUAGGCGGAAUUCCGGGUGGAGUGGUGAAAUGCGUAGAGAUCCGGAGGAACACCAGAGGCGAAGGCGGCCUACUGGGCUGCACCUGACGCUGAGCCGCGAAAGCCAGGGGAGCGAACGGG
RNAcentral lists this ribosomal RNA (253 nucleotides) under uncultured bacterium. RNAcentral describes it as "partial 16S ribosomal RNA". It matches the Rfam family "Bacterial small subunit ribosomal RNA", at positions 524 to 776 of the family's 1533-position model. The record is from RNAcentral.